AUAUCCCUGCUGUGCACGUUGGAAAUUUGAUAAUUUUUGAACCAACAAAAAUAUCAAGGGAGCCCGUAUUCCCGGAUACUUAGGUAUCUGAGAGAAGGCACCCACUUAAAACUAAACUGGUUCAAGCUAUUCAGUCCAACGGCACAAUGCGGGGAUUUU
RNAcentral lists this non-coding RNA (159 nucleotides) under Candidatus Omnitrophica bacterium CG08_land_8_20_14_0_20_41_16. Its description in RNAcentral is "6S RNA". It matches the Rfam family "6S / SsrS RNA". From Rfam's summary of the family: E. coli 6S RNA was the first non coding RNA to be sequenced, but its function was unknown until recently. It consists of 184 nucleotides that fold into an extended hairpin structure with a large single-stranded internal bulge. Lineage: Bacteria; Pseudomonadati; Candidatus Omnitrophota. RNAcentral also lists the same sequence under 1 other name. The record is from RNAcentral.